AAGAGAUUCGUUUCCAGUUUUCAGAUCAAGAAAAUGUCAGAAUAUAAUAAAGCUUUCAGUUAUUUGAGAGAAUCCGGUUGGAUAUAAAUAAUAUUAUCAUGGAUUCAAAUUAUUACAUCAUUCUAAAUACAUUUAUUUUUUUGCGGUGCGUUUAAAUGGUCGAACAUCACAUUGUGAAGCUUGAACAUACUAAAAUUACUUCUUACGAAAGAGUUGAGAAGAUUUCAACCGGAAGUCUUUCACAGUCUGAUGGCUCUCUGAUGGCAUUUAGUAAUAAGUGAUUGAAACAUAAGAAGUUUAGAAUUUGAAGUUCCAAAUUUAUUUAAGCUGGAAAUACGAGCGUAUUAUACCUUAAUUAUGGAUGAUGAUUGUUAUUUACAAAAGUUUAGGACUCUUCGCAACUCUAUGUAGCAGGUUGCUAUAUCAGCGAUUGAACAACGAAAUUGUAUGAGGGGAGUUAUCCAUUUCAUUAAAAUAGAGAGCUAGGGAUUGGGAAGCCCUGUAGGAAAGACGUUCGAGUAGCUCAGUUGGAAAUUCAUCAGUAUACUGUGGAAAAUAAUGUAGGAUACUAAUAACUAUUA
Long non-coding RNA from Teleopsis dalmanni, 581 nucleotides. RefSeq lists it as uncharacterized. The transcript is spliced from 3 exons. NCBI's taxonomy places the organism in Eukaryota, Metazoa, Arthropoda, Insecta, Diptera, Diopsidae. The record is from RefSeq and is a predicted model, not a curated record.